This 897-nucleotide ribosomal RNA is filed under the name Simulium chamlongi. RNAcentral's name for it is "partial 16S ribosomal RNA". The record is from RNAcentral. Lineage: Eukaryota; Metazoa; Arthropoda; Insecta; Diptera; Simuliidae.
UUUUAAUAUAUCUAGUUUUUUAAGAAAUAAAUUUAAUUUAGAUAAUUUAUUUUAAUAAUUUAAUUUUAUAAGUUGUUAUACUAAAUUAUUAAUAUUUUAAGGGAUGAGCUUUAAAAUAAAAUUUUAUAAAUAAUUAUUAUUAAGCAAUAAUUGUAAGCUUAGAAUUAGCUAUCAAUAGAAAUUAUGUUUUAAUUUAUUUUUUAAUUAAUAUUAUUUAUUAUUUAUUUUAAAUUUUUUAUUAAAAUAUAAAUUUUAAUUUUAUAAAUUUAUUAAUAAUGAUAAAAUUAGUAAACAUUAAUGAUUAUUUAAAUAAAUUUUUAUUUGAUUGGUUUUUAUAAUUAAUUCGGCAAAUUUUGUGCUCACCUGUUUAUCAAAAACAUGUCUUUUUGGUUAUUUAAUAUAAAGUCUGACCUGCCCACUGAAUUUAUUUUGAAGGGCCGCAGUAUUUUGACUGUGCAAAGGUAGCAUAAUCAUUAGUCUUUUAAUUGAAGGCUGGUAUGAAUGGUUGGAUGAGGCACAAGCUGUGUCAUAAAAAUUAACUUUUGAAUUUACCUUUUUAGUCAAAAGGCUAAAAUAAAAUUAAAAGACGAGAAGACCCUAUAGAGCUUUAUAUAAUUUAUAUUUAAAUUAUUAAGAUUUUUCAAAUUUAAUUAUUUUAUUAUAUUUUGUUGGGGUGACAAUAAAAUUUAUAAAACUUUUAUUUUUAUUAACCAUUUAUUUAUGAAUAUAUGAUCCAGUUUUAUUGAUUAUAAAUUUAAGUUACCUUAGGGAUAACAGCGUAAUUUUUUUUGAGAGUUCUUAUCGACAAAAAAGAUUGCGACCUCGAUGUUGGAUUAAGAGUAAUUUUGGGUGUAGAAGUUCAAAGUUUAAGUCUGUUCGACUUUUAAAUUCUUACAU